Long non-coding RNA from Melitaea cinxia (Glanville fritillary), 296 nucleotides. RefSeq lists it as uncharacterized. The transcript has 2 exons. NCBI's taxonomy places the organism in Eukaryota, Metazoa, Arthropoda, Insecta, Lepidoptera, Nymphalidae. The record is from RefSeq and is a predicted model, not a curated record.
GGUAGUUUGUGAUGAAAACUGAAGGUAACUUAAGUAAUUAUUCGUUACUACUCGUAUCUAUAUGCAUGGAACAAAACGCAGUCAGUUCAACAUCUGGUGUAUUUUUUUUACUUCCACUAACACAGUGGUCUAUUUUCAAACUACACGCUAUCUUUAUUUUACGGAGCUUUGGCAGUUUAUACCAUUGUUGAUACUACAUUACAGGAAAUCAUCUUACGUUAUUAUUAUAAAGUUGUAUCGUCAAUUUUAUGUGAUGAGUUGAAAUAUUUGUAUUAAUAAAUACGUUAAAAACCUUA